GGAGUUAGCCGGUGCUUCUUCUGUGAGUGAUGUCCUUCCUGCCGGCUAUUAACCCGCAGGCCUUCUUCCUCACUGAAAGUGCUUUACAACCCGAAGGCCUUCUUCACACACGCGGCAUGGCUGGAUCAGGGUUGCCCCCAUUGUCCAAUAUUCCCCACUGCUGCCUCCCGUAGGAGUCUGGGCCGUGUCUCAGUCCCAGUGUGGCUGAUCAUCCUCUCAGACCAGCUACGGAUCGUCGCCUUGGUGAGCCGUUACCUCACCAACCAGCUAAUCCGACAUAGGCUCAUCCGAUAGCGCGAGGCCCGAAGGUCCCCCGCUUUCCCCCGUAGGGCGUAUGCGGUAUUAGCCUGGGUUUCCCCCAGGUUAUCCCCCACUACCGGGCAGAUUCCUAUGCAUUACUCACCCGUCCGCCGCUCGCCACCAGGGAGCAAGCUCCCCGUGCUGCCGCUCGACUUGCNUGUGUAGCUGCGCCAGCGUCAUCUGAGCGAGAUACAACUACUGA
This 502-nucleotide ribosomal RNA is filed under the name uncultured bacterium. RNAcentral's name for it is "partial 16S ribosomal RNA". The record is from RNAcentral.